Molecule: ribosomal RNA, 207 nt
Filed under: uncultured bacterium
Lineage: Bacteria
Description: partial 16S ribosomal RNA
Rfam family: Bacterial small subunit ribosomal RNA
Source: RNAcentral
CACGUAGGGUGCGAGCGUUGUCCGGAAUUAUUGGGCGUAAAGAGCUCGUAGGCGGUGUGUCGCGUCGGCCGUGAAAACCUGCAGCUUAACUGUGGGCUUGCGGUCGAUACGGGCAUCACUGGAGUUUCGGCAGGGGGAGACUGGAAUUCCUGGUGUAGCGGUGAAAUGCGCAGAUAUCAGGAGGAACACCGGUGGCGAAAGGGCGGG